UCACCGUUGGUGAACCAGCGGAGGGAUCAUUACCAAGUUUUUCUACUCCCAAACCCCUGUGAACUUAUACCUUUACUGUUGCUUCGGCGGGUUAACGCCCCGGAAGGCCCAAAAAGCCGCCGGAACCAGGCGCCCGCCGGGGGACCCAAACUCUUGUAUUUCUUACUUUGCAUGUCUGAGUGGAAUCAUAAACAAAUGAAUCAAAACUUUCAACAACGGAUCUCUUGGUUCUG
RNAcentral lists this unclassified non-coding RNA (233 nucleotides) under plant metagenome. Its description in RNAcentral is "partial contains small subunit ribosomal RNA, internal transcribed spacer 1, and 5.8S ribosomal RNA". The record is from RNAcentral.